Long non-coding RNA from Salvelinus sp. IW2-2015, 644 nucleotides. RefSeq lists it as uncharacterized. Lineage: Eukaryota; Metazoa; Chordata; Actinopteri; Salmoniformes; Salmonidae. The record is from RefSeq and is a predicted model, not a curated record. The transcript is spliced from 4 exons.
GAGCCCUGCUUAAGGAAAUACAUAUGGCCCUCUCAUCAAUACUCAUGCAUUUGCUGCCAUCUAGUGGGAGAGAAGUGCAAUGUCAAGUGUUGGUGUCACUGUAGCGGUUGCUUUCUGAAGACUUCUCACUUUGUCCCGAGUCACUGCCCGCAAACUUCACCCUCCGCUUGGAUUUCUACUUACAGAAGAACUCUCAGGAAACUAUGAUGUCACUGCUGUGUAUGGGCAACCCCAGCAGCUCCUCCAGCAGACACUGCCCCCUUCUGUCUUUCCAGAUGCCACUGACCAAGCUGCCCACCAUCAGACAGGCAGUUCUGGCUGAUGACCUGUCUCCGUCUAUAGCUGAUAGAAACCAACACGGAAUAUCAUUCCAACUGAUACCACUAAUAUUUCUAACUUUACUGAUGAAGAAUAAGAGGGCAGGCUUACCCAAUCUCUCUGAACUGCCUGAAGUGUUCAGUCAAAAUUACAAUUACCACUAGUCACAGGUUCAAUAAGAUGUUCUGCAAAAACAAUACAGAAAUGUUAUUGCUCUCCAAUGAGGUUCUGCCAGUCAUACAGUAUGUUGAAAACCAUUAUCAAGGAAACCUACAGCAUAUGAACACUUUGUGUAGAUCGUKACCUGUUUGUUGAACACCAGUGAU